This 441-nucleotide ribosomal RNA is filed under the name uncultured bacterium. Its description in RNAcentral is "partial 16S ribosomal RNA". It matches the Rfam family "Bacterial small subunit ribosomal RNA", at positions 338 to 795 of the family's 1533-position model. The record is from RNAcentral.
CCUACGGGGGGCUGCAGUGGGGAAUAUUGCACAAUGGGGGAAACCCUGAUGCAGCAAAGCCGCGUGAGUGAGGAAGUAUUUCGGUAUGUAAAGCUCUAUCAGCAGGGAAUAGACAAGAAGGUACCUGCCCCAGAAGCCCCGGCUAACUACGUGCCAGCAGCCGCGGUACUACGUAGGGGGCAAGCGUUAUCCGGAUUUACUGGGUGUAAAGGGAGCGUAGACGGAAAGGCAAGUCAGAAGGGAAAACCCAAGGCGAAACGCUGGGACUGCUUGUGAAACUGUCAAACUAGAGUACGGGAGAGGUAAGAGGAAUUCGUAGUGUAGCGGUGAAAUGCGUAGAUAUUAGGAGGAACACCAGUGGCGAAGGCGUCUUACUGGACCGAAACUGACGUUGAGGCUCGAAAGCGUGGGGAGCAAACAGGAUUAGAUACCCUUGUAGUC